GACGAACGCUGGCGGCGUGCUUAACACAUGUAAGUCGAACGGAAAGGCCCUGCUUUUGUGGGGUGCUCGAGUGGCGAACGGGUGAGUAACACGUGAGUAACCUGCCCUUGACUUUGGUAUAACUUCAGGAAACUGGUGCUAAUACCGGAUAUGAGCUCCUGCUGCAUGUUGUUGGUUGGAAAGUUUCGGCGGUUGGGGAUGGUCUCGCGGCUUAUCAGCUUGUUUGUGGGGUAGUGGCUUACCAAGGCUUUGACGGGUAGCCGGCCUGUGAGGGUUACCGGCGACAUUGGGACUGAGAUACGGACCAGAAUGCUACGGGAGGCAGAAGUGGGGAAUAUUGCACAAUGGGCGGAAGCCUGAUGCAGAAACGCCGCGUGCGGGAUGACGGCCUUCGGGUUGUAAACCGAUUUCGCAUGUGACGAAGCGUGAGUGACGGUAAUGGGUAAAGAAGCACCGGCUAACUACGUG
This 468-nucleotide ribosomal RNA is filed under the name uncultured bacterium. RNAcentral's name for it is "partial 16S ribosomal RNA". It matches the Rfam family "Bacterial small subunit ribosomal RNA", at positions 28 to 507 of the family's 1533-position model. The record is from RNAcentral.